AUUGAACGCUGGCGGCAUGCCUUACACAUGCAAGUCGAACGGUAACGGGCCUUCGGGUGCCGACGAGUGGCGAACGGGUGAGUAAUGCAUCGGAACGUACCUUUCAGUGGGGGAUAACGUAGCGAAAGUUACGCUAAUACCGCAUAUUCUGUGAGCAGGAAAGCAGGGGGAUCGCAAGACCUUGCGCUGAUUGAGCGGCCGAUGUCAGAUUAGCUAGUUGGUGAGGUAAAGGCUCACCAAGGCGACGAUCUGUAGCGGGUCUGAGAGGAUGAUCCGCCACACUGGAACUGAGACACGGUCCAGACUCCUACGGGAGGCAGCAGUGGGGAAUUUUGGACAAUGGGGGCAACCCUGAUCCAGCCAUGCCGCGUGAGUGAAGAAGGCCUUCGGGUUGUAAAGCUCUUUCGGCCGGGAAGAAAUCGUAUGGGCUAAUACCCUGUGCGGAUGACGGUACCGGCAUAAGAAGCACCGGCUAACUACGUG
This 483-nucleotide ribosomal RNA is filed under the name uncultured bacterium. RNAcentral describes it as "bacterial SSU rRNA". It matches the Rfam family "Bacterial small subunit ribosomal RNA", at positions 30 to 507 of the family's 1533-position model. The record is from RNAcentral.